UCUACAGGCUUAACACAUGCAAGUCGAGGGGCAGCAUGGUCUUAGCUUGCUAAGGCCGAUGGCGACCGGCGCACGGGUGAGUAACACGUAUCCAACCUGCCGUCUACUCUUGGACAGCCUUCUGAAAGGAAGAUUAAUACAAGAUGGCAUCAUGAGUCCGCAUGUUCACAUGAUUAAAGGUAUUCCGGUAGACGAUGGGGAUGCGUUCCAUUAGAUAGUAGGCGGGGUAACGGCCCACCUAGUCUUCGAUGGAUAGGGGUUCUGAGAGGAAGGUCCCCCACAUUGGAACUGAGACACGGUCCAAACUCCUACGGGAGGCAGCAGUGAGGAAUAUUGGUCAAUGGGCGAGAGCCUGAACCAGCCAAGUAGCGUGAAGGAUGACUGCCCUAUGGGUUGUAAACUUCUUUUAUAAAGGAAUAAAGUCGGGUAUGGAUACCCGUUUGCAUGUACUUUAUGAAUAAGGAUCGGCUAACUCCGUGCCAGCAGCCGCGGUAAUACGGAGGAUCCGAGCGUUAUCCGGAUUUAUUGGGUUUAAAGGGAGCGUAGAUGGAUGUUUAAGUCAGUUGUGAAAGUUUGCGGCUCAACCGUAAAAUUGCAGUUGAUACUGGAUAUCUUGAGUGCAGUUGAGGCAGGCGGAAUUCGUGGUGUAGCGGUGAAAUGCUUAGAUAUCACGAAGAACUCCGAUUGCGAAGGCAGCCUGCUAAGCUGCAACUGACAUUGAGGCUCGAAAGUGUGGGUAUCAAACAGGAUUAGAUACCCUGGUAGUCCACACGGUAAACGAUGAAUACUCGCUGUUUGCGAUAUACUGCAAGCGGCCAAGCGAAAGCGUUAAGUAUUCCACCUGGGGAGUACGCCGGCAACGGUGAGACUCAAAGGAAUUGACAGGGGCCCGCACAAGCGGAGGAACAUGUGGUUUAAUUCGAUGAUACGCGAGGAACCUUACCCGGGCUUAAAUUGCAGAUGAAUUACGGUGAAAGCCGUAAGCCGCAAGGCAUCUGUGAAGGUGCUGCAUGGUUGUCGUCAGCUCGUGCCGUGAGGUGUCGGCUUAAGUGCCAUAACGAGCGCAACCCUUGUUGUCAGUUACUAACAGGUUCCGCUGAGGACUCUGACAAGACUGCCAUCGUAAGAUGUGAGGAAGGUGGGGAUGACGUCAAAUCAGCACGGCCCUUACGUCCGGGGCUACACACGUGUUACAAUGGGGGGUACAGAGGGCCGCUACCACGCGAGUGGAUGCCAAUCCCCAAAACCUCUCUCAGUUCGGACUGGAGUCUGCAACCCGACUCCACGAAGCUGGAUUCGCUAGUAAUCGCGCAUCAGCCACGGCGCGGUGAAUACGUUCCCGGGCCUUGUACACACCGCCCGUCAAGCCAUGGGAGCCGGGGGUACCUGAAGUGCGUAACCGCGAGGAGCGCCCUAGGGUAAAACUGGUGACUGGGGCU
Molecule: ribosomal RNA, 1439 nt
Filed under: uncultured bacterium
Lineage: Bacteria
Description: bacterial SSU rRNA
Rfam family: Bacterial small subunit ribosomal RNA
Source: RNAcentral